CGAAAGUCAGACACUUUCGGCGGCCGAACAUUGCCUUCGGCGGCCGAAAGUCUGCUUUCAAGCCAAAACUCAACGUUCGGGGGUAAGGUUAGGCGGCCAAACCAUGCAUCCAUAGGCAUGUUCGGCGGCCGAAACCACCUUCGGCGGCCGAACCUGAGUUCAUCCAGAACUCAGCCUUCGUGCAUACCAGCCUCCCAAACCUCACAAAACAACCCCAAACUUCACAUACUCUCUCCCAAGCAUGCAUACACACUCCCACAAGCAAAGAGAGCAAAGAAACUAGCUUAAACUCCUCAACACAACAUCACAUAACAUACAUUGGGCAUAAAACCCACAAAAGCCUAAACAUGCAUAUCUACCCAUACUCAAACAAUAAAACCUUCAUAAAACUUCAUAAAAACACUAGGGAAGCAAAGAUCUACACUUACCUCUUGAAGAUUGAGGGUGGCGUGAUCUCUAACUCGGCGGUGUGGAGAAUCCAAGCUCCAAAAGCUCCAAGCUCCCAAAACUUCGAUCUAAGCUUAAAACUCUUCAAAAUAACCAUAAAAAUUCAUGAGAACAUGAAGGAGAUGAAGAAAAACAUGAAAACGGCCAAGGAAGGACAAAAACUCACCUGAGCUCGGGAAUGGGGAGAAAACUCUCCCAUUUCCGAUCUGAGGGCUCUUUAUAGGUGGCCUGGUCAAAGACCUUCGGCGGCCUAACGUGCCCCCUAACCUCAUGCAUGUUCGGCGGCCGAACUUCACUUUCGGCGGCCGAACCUUGGCUCGUUCAAACAAGACUUUCGGAGGCCAAAAGCGCUCCCGAAACCUUUCCAUGUUCGGCGGCCGAACUUCACUUUCGGCGGCCGAACCUGGCAAACGCCUCCUUGGUCUUUUCUCUUCA
This 882-nucleotide long non-coding RNA is filed under the name Manihot esculenta (cassava). RNAcentral's name for it is "long non-coding RNA (MESC_LNC004605)". Lineage: Eukaryota; Viridiplantae; Streptophyta; Magnoliopsida; Malpighiales; Euphorbiaceae. The record is from RNAcentral.